This 468-nucleotide ribosomal RNA is filed under the name uncultured bacterium. RNAcentral describes it as "partial 16S ribosomal RNA". It matches the Rfam family "Bacterial small subunit ribosomal RNA", at positions 28 to 507 of the family's 1533-position model. The record is from RNAcentral.
GAUGAACGCUGACAGAAUGCUUAACACAUGCAAGUCAACUUGAAUUUGGGUUUUUUAACUUAGAUUUGGGUGGCAGACGGGUGAGUAACGCGUAAAGAACUUGCCUCACAGCUAGGGACAACAUUUGGAAACGAAUGCUAAUACCUGAUAUUAUGAUUAUAAGGCAUCUUAGAAUUAUGAAAGCUAUAUGCGCUGUGAGAGAGCUUUGCGUCCCAUUAGCUAGUUGGAGAGGUAACGGCUCACCAAGGCGAUGAUGGGUAGCCGGCCUGAGAGGGUGAACGGCCACAAGGGGACUGAGACACGGCCCUUACUCCUACGGGAGGCAGCAGUGGGGAAUAUUGGACAAUGGACCAAGAGUCUGAUCCAGCAAUUCUGUGUGCACGAUGACGUUUUUCGGAAUGUAAAGUGCUUUCAGUUGGGAAGAAAAAAAUGACGGUACCAACAGAAGAAGUGACGGCUAAAUACGUG